Molecule: ribosomal RNA, 406 nt
Filed under: uncultured bacterium
Lineage: Bacteria
Description: partial 16S ribosomal RNA
Rfam family: Bacterial small subunit ribosomal RNA
Source: RNAcentral
AUUGAACGCUGGCGGCAUGCUUUACACAUGCAAGUCGAACGAGUGGCGAACGGUUGCUUACUAUUUCGGAACUUACCGAGUAAUGGGGGAUAACCAAUCGAAAGAUUGGCUAAUACCGCAUAUUAUUCGAGCGGCCGAUAACUGAUUAGCUAGUUGGUGGGGUAAAGGCCUACCAAGGCGACGAUCAGUAGCGGGUCUGAGAGGACGAUCAGCCACACUGGGACUGAGACACGGCCCAGACUCCUACGGGAGGAAGCAGUGGGGAAUGUUGGACAAUGGGGGCAACCCUGAUCCAGCCGUGCCGCGUGUAUGAAGAAGGCAUGCGGGUGGUAAAGUACUUUUGUUAGGGAAGCGGUACCGAAAGAAUAAGCACCGGCGAACUACGUGACAGCAGCCGCGGUAAUUC